Molecule: long non-coding RNA, 2131 nt
Filed under: Cairina moschata (Muscovy duck)
Lineage: Eukaryota; Metazoa; Chordata; Aves; Anseriformes; Anatidae
Description: domestica (muscovy Duck (domestic type)) lncRNA (ENSCMMG00000012322.1)
Source: RNAcentral
GGGAUACAGUUAAGAUGUGGUGGCAAGAGAACUGAAUGUCUCAGAAAAUGUUAUAAAAAUUAAAUUUCAACCAGGGAGCUGUUGUCAGAAAUUUGGUAUUUUAUUUUACCACCAAUCCUAAAAAAAUUGGUUUGCCACUUAUAUUUCCUAAAAAAAAAAAAAAAUAAAUAGAUAGAUAAGCAAACAGCAACAACAACCAACUGGAUACUUACAUUUUUAAUUACUUCCUUGUUUCAGUACCUCAAUCAUACCUCAGUACAUUUUAAGAGAUUGAAGUACUUAGAAGCUAUAAAACCAUUAUUAUUAUUAUUAUUAUUAUUUUAUUAUUAUUGCUCUUAUGAAUGCUAUGUCUGUCAUGAAAAAGCUAAGUUCAGUGUAUGUGCUAUUAGUUGGAGUUUUCUGUGAUUUUGCCACUGUAGCUCCCACAUGUGUGGAGUACUAGAUCUCAUGGCUUGGUUAUUUUAUACCUCAGGGUUCUUAACCAGGGCACAGGCAACAAGUUUCCAACCACCAGCUGUGAUGCAUUGGUUGUGAUGGUGCUAGAUGUGUAGCUCCUACACAGUCUGGUGGUCAUGGAUGUCAUGUGUUGUGGUUUCCUCCUUUGUCCACGCCAGGAAAGCCUGCUCUCCUGCCAUGUGACUCCUCUGUUAUGUAACUCUAAACCACAACUGUGAGGAUGAGCAAACACUGACAAGGCUCUAUGGUUUGCAGACAGAUUCAACUAUGUCCUUCAAGGGAGUCUUCAUUUAGGUUUGGGGCCUCCAUACUGAUCUCUUGGUACUGUCUCUCCCCAUCUCUAAAAGAAGUCCAUGAUGUCAGCUACAUUACAGACUUGUGUUUUUUUUGUUGUUUUUUUUUUGUUUGUUUGUUUUUUGUUCAGACCCCAGAUUUCACAUUCAUUUUCUGGAUAUGUCAUUUCUAGCACCUGUGUGAGGGAGGGAAGUAUCCCUGCUUCUGCCGAGAAGGGGAGGGGAAGUGUGAAUGGAAAGAUGGCUUCCAGCAAAUGUUCCCAAGAAAAACAGACUCUGAAGUCCUUGGGAGUGCUUAUUCAUUUGGGAACUAUGACUUGUCAGCAUUUGCUUUGCUUUCAAUACCACAGAUUUGCAGAAUUGAAUGACAUGCUCUCUUCUGACUAAUGCUGAAGCUCCGGUAUUGCUGCUGACUUUCCUGAGGACAAACAAAUAACGUGAUACUGCAAACACAGGACAAAAAAAUCUGACCUGAAUUGUUGUUCUGCACAUAAUCAUGUAGAAGGCGCUUACCCCUGAAGAGUUUCUAAAAUAUCUACUGCAUUUUAUCUUCUGAAGACUCUGCAGCAAAUGCAAACUCCUUAGUUAAGGAUAUAACUUUCAACUGUACACACCAAAAGAAAACAUCAGGAGAAAUCUAUGUUGGGAAUUGGUAUACAGACGUGGACAUGAGUUCAAUAUGAGCUUGCUUUAAGCAAGCAGGAGCAGGCCUUAGAAAAUCUCGCGGCCUGCUGUAGCUGAGCAAACCAAGCUACCAGAGUAGCCGUGAGAAGAUCCCACGGCAGCGACUCCCACAUCGCCCAAUUAAGGAACUCAGAAGAAUGUUGUUAUCAGCAGCUGGACUCAAGGACAAGGUCUACAUGAUUGCUAAUCACAAGGGGGGUUCUUUUCUUGCAGGUGGGAUUGUUUUCUUAUAGUUGUUUGUCUGAGUGCUUUUGUCCAAUAAUCUUGUGUGAAACACUGUACGCCUCUGUCAAAUUCACUAUAAAAGCUAGGCUAUUCGGGCAAUAAAAUGAAGUUCACUGAUCACUCAUAUUGAGCGUCUGUGUCUUCCCUCCGUCGAUGACAAAUCUAUACCCAGUAUCCAAUGGAUCAAAUCCCUGUAGAGUUGAGAAAUCUUUUUGGUAGCAAUAACAAUCCAGUGAACACCCACCAUCAUUCUCUUCCAAACUAACAUGUAGAAAACUAACAUAUGCUAUGCUGAUCCUUAAUGAGGCAGAUGAUUUAUAUGAGCAUAUGAACACUAGUGAAGUUAGAAAGGGGUUUGAAAGAUCUCAGGUUUCCAUGCUGUGAAAGACGUCAGAGAGUAAAAAAUCUCCUUUCUCCUAAAGCUGUUGCUCCCAUGCUGAAGAGAGAAACUUCUACUGAUACCGUGAGUGGGG